This 454-nucleotide long non-coding RNA is filed under the name Homo sapiens (human). RNAcentral describes it as "HSALNT0314803". Lineage: Eukaryota; Metazoa; Chordata; Mammalia; Primates; Hominidae. The record is from RNAcentral.
GCAAGUCGGCCAUCAGGCUCAGCCUCCCAUGAAGCGCUCCUGACUUCCCACCCUUCCUCCAGGCCAGGAGUCUGCCAAUCACAAUCUGGGUUCUGUUUUCCCGCCUUUCCUGGCAGCACAAACCACGGCUCCGGAUGGUGAGCAAUGCAAGUUCCAGGCAUGCCUUGCUGCAUUACUGGGUUCCCAGGUGUCACUUCAUCCAGAGGGGAGGAGGCCUCGCCACCAUGCCCAGAGCAGCACAGUGAGUCAGAGAUGAAGCUCUUGUCCCACCUGCCCCAACCCUCGAGCCCUGCUUCCCAGGUCCGCAUUCCCAGGCAGCCUGCCACAGCCAGUGCCAGCGAGAGAGUGGAUCAGGCUUCAGGAUAGCCCAGCACUGAGGACAUCUAAAACAGUCUUCAUUUAUUUAUUUAUUGUUCAUAGUGUCCAAAAGUUGGAAUUAAAGUGAAUGGCUGAA